Long non-coding RNA from Bos taurus (domestic cattle), 678 nucleotides. NCBI's taxonomy places the organism in Eukaryota, Metazoa, Chordata, Mammalia, Artiodactyla, Bovidae. The record is from Ensembl.
GCCAGGCUGCAAACAUACAAGCACACAGACCUGCGCACUAGAACAUAAACAGGGAUAUUUAAUUUCUUCCUUUUAAUUUUUUUUUUGCACACUAAUAAAUAAACUACUGCAACAACAACAGAAAAAGCAAGCGGAAUCCAAAUAUCCUCUCGGUUGCCAUUUGGUUAUAUAAGAAGGACGAAUUAAGGCGAGCUGGCGGUAAAGAGUCGCUCCAAAUCCGAGCCCCUGAACCGGCCUUAAAUCAAAAGGGAAAAAGUGGGGCAGAGUUCUGCCAGCAGCAAACAUGAUCAGCUUCUGGGGAGAGGACUGUCACAGGUCACAGAACUCGGCCCAGCUAAAAGUCCGCAGCCCCUGCACACCUCCGGGAACCCUUAUUCGUUGUUGUUUUGCAGGGAUGGGCUCCAGGCAGCUUCCUUUGUAAGGUGCCCCCCACCCCCAGCCCGCGGGUCGAGCUUCUGGGGCAGGGAGCAAACACCCGCCCCAAGGGACUGGACCACCAGCGUCCCCUUGCCCAGGAAUUUAGGAUUGGGGUGGAGAAAAAGAAAACAGUGUUUAUGAAGAGCCAGAAAGCGUUCUGUGGAUUUUAAAACCCAAGGAUGCGUGCUCAGAAUCAUGGCCGCUUCACUCAAGAAUGGGCAUCCAUGGAGCCAUCCUAAGGGCUGCCUCUCCUCACCUGGG